UUUAUACCGCCCAGUUUAUGUAAUAACAAUGAUUCAUAUCAGAUGGCGUUGUAAUUUGUACAUCACUUGAAUAUACAGGAGUUUUCUGGCUCUGCUUUGUCAUGGACAUGCAAGCUUCUAAUGGAAUGGAUAUUUGUAUGAAUUCAGUGUAUGCUUCCAUCCCUGGAUUACCGGAAUUAGGGAUGGUAUGGAUGGGAGAUAUGAUGGUACAUGGAGAACCAACACAUGAACUUAUGUUGGAUCCACGUCAAGCUGAAAGUCCAUUCUUUUCUCAUGGUUCAAAUCCAUAUGAAGACAUUAGGAAUCAUCAAAUUGCACCUACAACUAUGGUACGGUACCUACCACCUCAGUUUCCUAAUGAAUGUUCAGAACCUGAUGAAGCUAUGGAAGCUGUUGAUGCCCAAGAAAUACAACAGGAAUAUGAUUCACAAUCUGAAAGGCAAGAAAUGACAGAAUAUUUGACAUUAGAAGAUUAUAUGGGUGAUGAAGAACGGGAACAAGUUGUAAACAAUGCAGCAACACAAACUACUCAGGACAAUCGUAAUAGAAAAAUAAAACCUAUAAAACAUCCUGGAUUGGUUUUAAAAACACCAAUUGCAUAUCAACCACAUACAGAUUUAAAUUUUAUUCCCAUUCGUAAGGAUGGUAUAGCUGUUUGUGAAAAAUGUGGUGCUAUUGGUGUAAAACAUGCAUUUUACACCAAAGAACGUCGAUUUUGCAGUAGAGCAUGUGCAAGAUCUUCAGAACAUACUGCUCCUACUGCUGAUUCUACAUAUAGUCCAUCUCAUUCAAUAGAAGCACCUACAUCUCUAAAUUCAUCAUCUCCAAAUGAAUCUAAAGUAAUGAAAAAUGCCAUAGUAAAAGAAGAAACAGAUAUAAAAGAAUCUUCUGAACUUGAAAAAGAGAAAGUUAUAUCUGAACUAGUAAUGCCAGAGGAUUUACCUGUAAGAAGAAAAAGAACUGCUGAAAUGGCAGGUUCUUAUGAUUGGACUCCACAAUUAAUUGAACCUGGAUUUUGUGCUGCUCCAGUAUCUUGCUUUAAACAUGCACCUAUAUCAGAAAUAUGGGAUAAUAUCACAGUUGGCAUGAAAGUAGAAGUAGAAAAUACUGAUUGUGAUGAAGUAUGUGAAGCUUUUCCAGAUUCUUUUUGGGUUGCUACUGUAUUACGUAUAUCUGGAUAUAGAGCUUUAUUAAGGUAUGAAGGUUUUGGACUUAAUGCUGACAAAGAUUUUUGGGUAUCAUUGUGCUCGAAUGAUAUACAUCCAGUAGGUUGGUGUGCAACAAUUGGCAAACCUCUUAUUCCACCUAAUACAAUUGCUAAUAAAUACAAAGACUGGAAAGAUUUUCUAAUGAGACGAUUAACAGGUGCAAGAACACUGCCAACUAAUUUUUAUAAUAAAGUUAAUGAUAGUAUGAAGUCGCGUUUUAGAUGUGGACUUCACUUAGAAGUAGUAGACAAAAAUAGAAUCUCGCAAGUAAAAGUAGCAACAAUACAAAAAAUUGUGGGUAAACGGUUACAUGUACGAUAUUAUGAUUCACCACCCGAAGAUAAUGGUUUUUGGUGCCACGAAGAUUCCCCGCUUAUACAUCCCGUUGGUUGGGCUAAACGUAUAGGACAAACAUUGGAUGCAUAUCCUGAAUAUUUAGAGCGUGUGUCAAAAUCAAAAUUGUGUGAAGAUGAUGCGACUGAAGAUCUCUUCUAUGUGCCAAAGAACCAUCACGUACAUCUUGGAUAUACAUUUCGAGAAGGAAUGAAAGUAGAAGCUAUUGAUCCUCUUAAUCUUUCUGCCAUAUGUGCAGCAACAGUUAUGCAAGUUUUAAAAGAAGAUUAUAUAAUGAUCCGCAUAGAUAGUUAUGAUGAAGAUGCAAGUGGUGCUGAUUGGUUUUGCUAUCAUUCAUGUUCACCUUGUAUCUUUCCAAUUGGAUUUUGUUCUCAACAUGGAUUACCACUUACACCACCAAAGGGUUAUGAUCCUACUACAUUUACAUGGGAUGCAUAUUUAACAGAGACAAAUACUAUACCUGCUCCUGUGCAGUUAUUUAAUAGGGAAAUACCUCAACAUGGAUUUAUUGAAGGAAUGAGACUUGAAGCUGCUGAUCUAAUGGAUCCUAGAUUAGUUUGUGUUGCUACUAUUACUAGGGUAAUUGGAAGGUUAUUAAGAGUACACUUUGAUGGUUGGGAGGAUGAAUAUGAUCAAUGGUUAGAUUGUCAGAGUCCUGACAUUUAUCCAGUUGGAUGGUGUGACCUUGUUGAUCAUAAAUUAGAAGGGCCCCGUGUACUCAAUAAAAACACUAGUCCUACUGUAAAAUCACCAAGAGGCCUUAAACGUAAAGCUAAGAGAAAAUUGAAGAAAAGCAACAAAGUAUCUUGCGCGAAAAACAUUCUACCUCGGCACAGUGAACGUAUCAGCAUGGCUCGCGAACGCGAACGCGAAGUUGAGCCUGCUCAAGGAAUAAAAAUUGAAAGAGAAUGUGAUUUGGAAAGUCUACCAGAACAAAGAAAUAGGGAACCAGAACCAGCAGAAGAGCCAGCUGGACCUGAUCAAACUUUACCCAGUCCUACUACUGGACAAGGUCAAGCAUUAAAUGAUACUCAAAGUGAGAUACAAAGUCCUCCACCACCAAAAGAACGAACCGCAACAUCCUAUAUUAAUGUAACAUCUGCCUCUAGCAAAUACAUCCCAAGGCUAGCAGAUGGUGUUCAAAAAAGUUCUGAAUCUGGUGACUUAGUGCCAUCUGAGUGGAAUGUGUUUGAUGUUGCACAAUUUCUUCGUGUUAACGAUUGUGCAACAUAUUGCGAUAAUUUUAGUAAACGUAAAAUAGAUGGAAAAACUCUAUUGACACUUACUAAGGACCAAAUAAUAGACCUUACAGGUUUUAAAGUUGGGCCUUCUUUAAAAAUAUAUGAUCUUAUUCAACAAUUGAAAAUCAAAGUGAAUCCAGCUCAGGAAAGGUUGAAAUUAGGAUUGAAAAAGUUAUUAUAACAAAGAUAGUACAUAGUUAAUACCAUGAAUAAGUUCCAUCAUUGCAUACAAAUAAACAUGGAUUUACAGGUAAGGCAUGUAGAAGCAAGUAAUUAAAAUUCAUGUUUCAUCAUGGUUAUAUACAGUGUUUGUUAUAUGCUUUAUUAUUAAUAUAUAUAUAUAUAUAUAUAUAUAUAUAUAUAUGUAUGUAUAUACACAUGUAUAUAUACAGGAUAUUUGAAUGAAAUAUAUAGAUACAUUUAAGGAAUAAUUUUAAAAACUGAAACGAACACAAAAGUUGAUAUGCAAAAAUGUCUGAUAAAAUUUAUUUUUUAAGUUAUAAGCAAAUUAAUUUUGCACUAGAUGAAGAAAAAUGGAAAUAGAGUAUGACAAAAAUAGAAUAAUUUCAUGCUUUUUUUUAGUACAAAAUUAUUUAUAAUUUAAAAAAUAAGCUUUCUUUGACAAUUUCUUUAAAAAUUUUGCAUAUUAAUAUUUAUAUUUAUUUCGGCCUUUAAAAUUAUCCCUUAAAUUUUCUAUCUAUUUUGUCCAAAUAUCUUGUAUAUAAGUAUAUGUAUAAAUAAAUAUAUAUACACAUAUGUAUCAAAAUUGCUAAAAAUAGAGAUUUUGCUCUCUCAUCAAUAUCAAUUUGAGAAGAAUAACAUUCAUUUAAAAAAAGAAAGAAAUUCAUUAAGGAAAAGAGGGAGAAAAAAUUAUUUCGAUUUAAAAUUACAUAAAUAAUUUAAAAUAUAUUUACUUAUAUAUUUAAAAGAAAGAAAGAAAAAUAAUUUUAUUAAAAAAUUAAUAUUUUAAAAUAUUUUCUCUUUUAAAAAUUUAUAUUUUCUUUCAAGAUUAUCUGAAAAUUAAAUAGAUAAAUUUUCUUAAAAUAGCAAAAACACUGUAAAAUUAUAAAUAUAUUAUUUCUUUUUAUAUUAAAAUAAAAUACAAUAAUUAUUUCAAUGUAUCCAACUAAAGAUGAAUUCUAGAAUGAAAAGAUUUACAUAAAUUCAUAAUUUUAUGUAGUUUGACUUUCCAACUUAAUAUUCUAACAAUCUGAUAGAAAAAUAAAAUGAAAAUUCAUAUUUAUAUUUAUGUAAAUUGUUAUCUGAAAUAUUAAGAGAAAAUUUGUCAUGUUACAUUUACAUAUUUUGAUGUAUAUUAGAAGUUAAUUAUUCUAGCAAUUUUUUAAUUUUUCACGACGCCGUUAUUUGUAAAUCCAUGCUUUCACGUUGCACUAAAUUGAUUGCAGAUGCAUGAACCACAUUUAAAAAAAAUGCUAAUAUAUUUAAGAAUUUUUUUUAAACAAACCGAAAGUUAAAGAAUGUAAUUUAAAACAAAAAUUUAGGAGUAAAUCAACAAAAAUAUAUUAGUGUGGGAAAUAAAAAUAUAGUAAAAUGAAUCAUAAAGUACAAAUAACUUCUUGAAUAUCAAUUCAUUACAGUUUCAAUCAUAUUUGCCUUAAUCAUAUAAUUCGCAAUAUUAAAAUAGUUUUAUGUAUUUUAAUAAAUUUGUUGAUUUACUCUUUAUUGUAAUCAAGAACCACACACGCGAAUGUACAUAAUUAAAUAAAAAGAAAUGGUCAACUUCUAAUCAAUCUUGUAAAUAUAGCAUUUAGCACAGUAUUAGGUUUAGCUACUUUUUCUGAAAAAGAAUGAAGAGAUAACCACAGUAUAAAAGAAGCAUAAUUGUUAGAAAGUGGUUGAUGCAUUUGUAUAACAGAUAUUGUAUCUAUAUGUAGCUUUAUAAUCAUUACAGUAAAUCAAACCAGUCGAGCAAAGUCUGAGACUAAUUUGCCUUAGGCUCCUUAUAUACUAUUUUUAGUAUGAUAGAGUAACAUGGUUACUCUCUUUAUUUAUUCAAUAUUUUGGAAUCUCAUGAGGUACCAAUUUAAUUUGGUUCCAAACAUUUUCUUAGCAGUUAAUUGAUAAAAUAUUAGAUUCAAAACAUAUAAAUGAUCAUCUAGAUUUUAUAGUUAUGAUCAUACCAGAAUUUGAAUUGAAGUAAAGUGAAGUAUUUUCUUUUGUUAUGAUAAUGAGCGAUUUUACAUUAACAAUGUAAAAAUUUAUUAAUUCGGAGAAUAUUAUAUAGAUAUAUCUGCUGAAGAAAAAAUAAUGUUUUCUUAAAUCAUUGUGUACAAAUUGGGAGGCAUUAUAAAUAGUAUUACAAUUAGAAACAUACGAAGUUUGGAUUUUGUUUAAAAUAUAUUAAUCACACAUAACUAGAAAAGCAAUGUCUAAUUUAAAAAUAUGAAAAUAUUUAAAAAAAAAACAUUUUUCUUCUUAAAAAUUGUUUUAUAAUAAUUAGAUAAUUUAAGAUAUGCAAACGCACUAAUAAUGGAAAAUUAAAUGAUACGUGUAUUUAUGCAAUUUUUUUACACGAAACAUCGAGCAUUUAAAUAAUACUACAUACUAAUUAAAAUAAAACUGAAAAAAAGUCUAAAUGUGCACUUCUCUUUCUAAACAAAAAUAUUUUUUACUCAGUCAAAUAAUACUGAGUAAAUAGCUGUCUUAUAAUAUAUUAGUAAAAAUGCUUCAUGAUUUCA
Molecule: RNA transcript, 5502 nt
Organism: Apis cerana (Asiatic honeybee)
Lineage: Eukaryota; Metazoa; Arthropoda; Insecta; Hymenoptera; Apidae
Gene name: polycomb protein Sfmbt
Source: RefSeq, a predicted model, not a curated record